UCGAGGGGCAGCACGGAAGCAAUUCUGGUGGCGACCGGCGAACGGGUGCGUAACGCGUAUGCAACCUACCUUAUACAAAGGGAUAGCCCAUGGAAACGUGGAUUAAUACCUUAUAGUACUAAUAGUCUUCAUGGAUUAUUAGUUAAAACUUCGGUGGUAUAAGAUGGGCAUGCGUCUGAUUAGCUAGAUGGUAGGGUAACGGCCUACCAUGGCAACGAUCAGUAGGGGUUCUGAGAGGAUUAUCCCCCACACUGGUACUGAGACACGGACCAGACUCCUACGGGAGGCAGCAGUGAGGAAUAUUGGUCAAUGGGCGCAAGCCUGAACCAGCCAUCCCGCGUGCAGGAUGACAGCCCUAUGGGUUGUAAACUGCUUUUCUAUGCCAAGAAAGGUCCUUACGUGUAGGGAUUUGACGGUAGCAUAGGAAUAAGCACCGGCUAACUCCGUGCCAGCAGCCGCGGUAAUACGGAGGGUGCAAGCGUUAUCCGGAUUUAUUGGGUUUAAAGGGUGCGCAGGCGGAAAAGUAAGUCAGUGGUGAAAGGUUGCCGCUUAACGGUAAGAUUGCCAUUGAUACUGCUUUUCUUGAGUAUGGUUGAGGUAGACGGAAUGUGUAGUGUAGCGGUGAAAUGCAUAGAUAUUACACAGAACACCGAUUGCGAAGGCAGUCUACUAAGCCAUCACUGACGCUGAGGCACGAAAGCGUGGGUAGCGAACAGGAUUAGAUACCCUGGUAGUCCACGCCGUANACGAUGUUCACUCGCUGUCUGCGANACACAGUAGGCGGCUUAGCGAAAGCAUUAAGUGAACCACCUGGGGAGUACGAUCGCAAGGU
Molecule: ribosomal RNA, 832 nt
Filed under: uncultured bacterium
Lineage: Bacteria
Description: bacterial SSU rRNA
Rfam family: Bacterial small subunit ribosomal RNA
Source: RNAcentral